RNAcentral lists this long non-coding RNA (1746 nucleotides) under Malus domestica (apple). RNAcentral describes it as "long non-coding RNA (MDOM_LNC020153)". The record is from RNAcentral. Lineage: Eukaryota; Viridiplantae; Streptophyta; Magnoliopsida; Rosales; Rosaceae.
CCACCCAUUUGAACCAAUCAGAGUACUCUUUUGGCCGCCAUAUUACUAGCAUAAGUAGGAGCAGCUCCUCUUGUUUUAGGGAGAACCGCAGCAUGCAAUGAGAAGUAUGUUGUGCAUGCAAUAAGAGUUAAUGUAGAGAUUAUAUAUAUAGGGAGAUUAGGAAAGAAAAGAGAGUGGAAGAAAUAUAUGGUGAUUAGGCUUGAUCAAGGAGCUUGCUCAAGUAUGUGAAACUCAGUUAUUUUGGUAGUGACGUGAAUAAGUACGUGGAGCUUAGCUAUUCCGGUAGUGACGUAGAUCUUUGUUUUAUCUUUGGAAUCCAGGUAGGAGAAAUACGGCAGACCUUUACGGAAUUUUAUUUUAUUAAAUUUCGUGAAGUGUUAUAAUAUUUUUGAUCUUUUUGGUUGAUUAAUGUGGUUGGAUUUUAAUUGGCUAAUUAUUUCAGUUAAGUGUUUACUUGUUAUUGGUUAUGGAAUUAUUGCUGGAAUGCUAUUCAUUGAGAAUAUACUGUGAUAUAUGUGAAAGAUGAAAUGACAUUAUUUGUGCAUCACUCAUAUUGUGAGAUGUGGUUGGAAUUUUAGUGUUGAGAUUGGAAUUCGGGAAAUGAGGGUAGUUAGAAAUGAUCUUUUGUGUAGUUGAAUCUAUUCAUUGUGAAACUAGUUCCAAGUGAGCCCGAUGUGCACAUUAGAAUAGGAUAUCGGCGAGAUAAUUGUCGAUGUGGGUGGUUUGGGUUAGAGAUCAAUGAAUUAGAUAAGAUGACUAGCAAAAUGGGUUUAUGAACUUGGGAUAUCGUAUGAGGGUUAGUUUCUAUAAUAGAAUAUUCGAACCACCACUCCAUUGGUAAAAUGCAUGGUAUGAGACGUGCAGGUUUGCGUGUUUUAUUAUAUAAAUUUAUGGGGAUAGCCGAAGAGGUUGGACUGCAUUCAUGCAUUGUUAUCAAUAAUAAUUUGAUAUAUGGCUAUAUGAUUUCAUGACACUUUAUUUAACAUUGUUAAUUUAUUGUGGUAAGGUUAUGUCCCUAUUGAGCUAUUGAAGCUCACCCUUCUAUUGUUAUGCAGGUUUACAAACUAGAUAUUCAAGAGGGUAGGCAUGAUGAGAUCAGAUUAGAUAUGAGAAUAGAAUGUGGGAAGUGUUAUUGGCACUCCAAAAAUCUCAUUCUACACUCCUCACAAGUGUAUUUUUCUUUCCAAAUGUAGAAAGUUUGGAAUGUAGAAUGAGAUUUUUGGAGUGCCAAUAACAAUUCCCUAGAAUGUUUAUUCAUCUAUUUAUUGUAGGUUGUAGAUAAUUCUUGAUUUCUUUAAGAAUCAUGAAUUAUUUUUAUAAGAAGAAAUAUAUUUUCCAGGCGAUUUCAAUUUCUUUUUAUUUAUUGAGCUUUUAACUCACGUUUCGGAUUUGGGUUCGAGUUUUUAUUGCUGACCUGGGUCUAGGCCUGGCAAACGGGUCGUGUCAGUCGUGUUCGUGUAACACCUAUUAUCUUAACGGGUCGUGUCGUGUCACACCUGUUAUCUUAACGGGUCCUUAACAGGUCGUGUCACUUUACCCAACGGGUAAAGUGACCCGACCCGUUAUGACCCGUUAAGAAAAAUAUUUUUUUUUCUUAAAUUUGCACAUACCACACAUUGCCACAUAAAUAUUACUUCAAAACAUUAAAACACAUUUGUCGUUUAAGUACUACGUCUACACUCGAAAAUAAGAGCCUAAUAAAAAAAUAAUACAUACACUACUAAUCUAUUACAAAUUUUAAAUGUG